This 96-nucleotide small nucleolar RNA is filed under the name Mytilus galloprovincialis (Mediterranean mussel). RNAcentral describes it as "Small nucleolar RNA SNORD14". It matches the Rfam family "Small nucleolar RNA SNORD14". Rfam says of the family: U14 small nucleolar RNA (U14 snoRNA) is required for early cleavages of eukaryotic precursor rRNAs. In yeasts, this molecule possess a stem-loop region (known as the Y-domain) which is essential for function. Lineage: Eukaryota; Metazoa; Mollusca; Bivalvia; Mytilida; Mytilidae. The record is from Rfam by way of RNAcentral.
UUUCGAUGAUGAAGAAUUUUCCAUUCAUUUGCGGUUUCCACCAGAGAGUUCUUGAACUCGAAGAUGGCUUUUGACCUUCCUUGGAUGUCUGAGUAA